UUACAAUAUAUAUUUAUUGAAUUAAUUGUAUAUUUGUGAUUUUUAGGGAGUUUUUUAUGACCAUGUUGAAAUCAACUUUUUCAUAAAUGGAAAGAAUGUUUUGUGUCCUGUCACUGGAGCUAAGGGCGAAGUUUUUCCCGUUUUGUAUGUUGAUGAUGGUGCAAUACUUGAUGCAGCUUUCGCCACAUUUACUCACCAGCCUCCAUCAGGAUUUGACAGAAUAAUGGUUGAAAAAUCCUUGUUGUAAUUUCAUCUACAAGAAAAGUUUGUCUACGGUAAGAACUCCCCUGCCACAAGUUCUGAGGUCCUCUGCUGCUAUAGAAACAAAAAUAGUGCAUCUCAGAGAGGGUAGCUUCUCUUCACUCUAGGACUAACACAGUAGACCGAAGAAAAAAAUUCCCUUUUUUUCGCCCACCUCACCCCUACUUAAAAUAGUUAUACCUUGUUACCAUAGUCCCCUCCACGGGUAUAGACGAAUGGUUCUUACUUUAGACAAAAUAUACCAGGGUUGUCUACAAAGGGAGUAGGGAGAACAAGGGAAAACCUGGAAAAUACAGGGAAUUUAAAAAUCACCUAAAAUAACAGGGAAAAUGAGGGGAAUUAUGAGUUUUUCCUUACUAAAUGGGAAAAUGCAUAGAAUUUUAUUUCUUAUUUUCGUCUUUCCAAAAGUACUGACCUCACAAAGCGUAUUCUAUGGGAUAUGUAAGGAUGAUUUAUCUUCUAUACUAAACUAUCUCAUUUACUAUAGUAUUAUUUGUUUUCAGUAUGCACAGGGAAAAAACAGGGAGUUAUUUUUUUCAAAUUUGAGGGCCAACCCUGUUUACUAAUUGGAUAUUAUAAGUAGCAACCAAACAAGCCUAUUAACCCUUUGACGGUUAAGGAAAUGGGCAGUUUUUGUUUACUUAAUUCGUAACAGUAUUACGAGUAAACAGAAGUCGAAGGUGGCAGCUGUUUUCCUCCGCCAUUCUUCCGAAAAUGUCACCCUUCUCUGGCGAUGGCGUAGAUAGCUCGCCUCACUCGUUUUAAAAAUUUCUUUAAGUAUAUGUAGUACAUAAUACAUAAAUAUCCGUUUUUACAUACGUUAAAAUAAUUAAUAAAGAAUAAUUAUUUAAUGGUACAUUAUAAAUGAUUACAAUCAAUUAUAUAAAUAGUAAUUGUUAAUUAUAAGUAUAAGACAAAUAUUAAAUUGAAAGGGCUCGAUAAAUGCAACUAAUGUAAAACUUUAUGAAGAAUUUGAAUACAGUAAUUACCUAAACAUCUUUUUGUACACGCUGUAAAAAAAUUACAGUAAUUACCUAAAAAUCUUUAACAAUCAUAAUCAUCAUCAUAAUUAGCUAACUUUCGCUUUUGAGCCAUUUUACUUUACAAACACCCUAAAAAAAGUGCCAAAAUAAGCAUAAAAAGAACAAGGAAAAAAAAAUUCCCCCUUCAUUAUGAAAAGAAAUUCAUGGAACCCGUACUGCCAUCUGUAGACAGCAAAACUAACUACAUUUCGCGAGUAGGAUUCGUUUGUAACAUAAUCAAUGCAGAAUAAUAAUGGUGAACGAGCUCAGCUCGUCAAUGCGCAUUGGGGGGAAAUGUCACUACGCUAGUAGUACUUGUUUCUAACCAUUUCGGUUGAAAUCUUGCUCCCGAGCGGGACUCGUUUGCACGCUUUAUGCAGGGUUUGUUAUUCCUUAUACUCCUUAGAAACUCCCUGGAAAUAAAAAGGUCCUCAAGGAGUACUUGGAACUACUUAGAUUUCAAAAUUAGUUCUUAGAAACUCCUUAAAUUAUUGCGUUGCAUAGAUGAACUUACUAAGUCCGCUGUUGAAUUUGCUGUCCAAGCAGGGAAACGAAAUGAUAUGACUUAGCUGUCAAGAUCUAAUAGUUAAAGAAAAACUUUGAAAGAAAAAAAAUUGAUUUGCAAGAGUUGGAAGAAAAAAAUAGCAGCAAAUAAUUUUAAUUUUACAUGUUACAAGCAAACUUAAUUAAUAAUUUACUGUGAUAUAUUUUUUUUCCCGUUUAAAAUACCUUAGAUAAAACGCCUUUCUUACGUAUUCAAGUUUAAAAAUAUAAGAUUGGUCGGUUUUUAUGUUAAUCUUUAACAUGUGUACUUUAACAGGAUUAAUUAAAAUAAUUGAGACUGGAAAAUGUAUUUAUGUGUAAAUGUGAUAACUUUAUUUAUUUUUCUUGUUGAAGUUUGACAAAGUCAAAAUUUAUUUCAAAAGCGCUAGAAAAAAAUAUGCAAACUAUACAACAUUUUUGUGAGUUCCUUAUAAUAACUGCUUUUUUAAUUUAAAGAAAAAAACUGCCUAAUUAUCUUUUACACAAAGUUUUUGGAUAAGUCCUUAAAAUUUUGGACUCCUUGGAUACUCAUACAUAUGGAUUUCUUCUUCUGAUCUCUGUAUGAACCCUGUUUUCUGAAUGAUAUUUUCUAUGCUAGGCAUUAGUGAUGCAACGGAUCUUAAUUUGGCCUGAUGACGGAUAUCCGGCCAAUCUUUGAGCCAGAUAUCCGGUAUCUAGCCGCAGUACUUUUUUUAAAACAAGUAUUAAUAAAACAAUUCCUCAGAUCGAUUAUCACUUUAUUCUAAUAUUUGUCUUUAAUAUAACUGCCAACCAUUCAGAUCUUUUCUCAAUUUUUUAAAUCAAGUGAAACUAGAAAAAAAAAAUUUAAU
Non-coding RNA from Parasteatoda tepidariorum (common house spider), 2656 nucleotides. The record is from RefSeq and is a predicted model, not a curated record. Lineage: Eukaryota; Metazoa; Arthropoda; Arachnida; Araneae; Theridiidae.